GGGAGCGUUCUUGGAUUCGACGGGGAUUACAAGACUCUAGGUGCAUGCCGAGGAUGAAAGAACCUCGUAAAUCCCUUUCAAAAAAAUAGUUGCAAACGACGACAACUACGCUUUGGCGGCUUAAUCCCCGCUGACGUUCACCUGAAGCAGUCUGCGGCUUCAGACUGAAUGACAUCCCAGCAGAACCGCCGGUGGACGCGUCCGCUAUCCGCCGGUUAAAUCAAGCGGAAUCGCGGCAAAGAUGCCUGACCGUUGGCUGCCUUGCCGUUAAAUCCCAAUAAACGACUCUAAGCAUGUAGUACCGACAGUUGAGGAUUCGCGGACGGGGGUUCAAAUCCCCCCGCUUCCACCA
RNAcentral lists this transfer-messenger RNA (352 nucleotides) under Cardiobacteriaceae bacterium. It matches the Rfam family "transfer-messenger RNA". From Rfam's summary of the family: Bacterial tmRNA, also known as 10Sa RNA or SsrA, is named for its dual tRNA and mRNA-like properties. Its role is to liberate the mRNA from a stalled ribosome. Lineage: Bacteria; Pseudomonadati; Pseudomonadota; Gammaproteobacteria; Cardiobacteriales; Cardiobacteriaceae. The record is from RNAcentral.